GCGGAUGUGGCGGAAUGGCAGACGCAGCAGACUCAAAAUCUGCCGCCCAUAAAGCGUGCGGGUUCAAGUCCCGCCAUCCGCA
This 82-nucleotide transfer RNA is filed under the name Eubacterium sp. RNAcentral describes it as "tRNA-Leu". It matches the Rfam family "tRNA". Rfam says of the family: Transfer RNA (tRNA) molecules are approximately 80 nucleotides in length. Their secondary structure includes four short double-helical elements and three loops (D, anti-codon, and T loops). The record is from RNAcentral. RNAcentral also lists the same sequence under 4 other names. Lineage: Bacteria; Bacillati; Bacillota; Clostridia; Eubacteriales; Eubacteriaceae.